GAGGAGAAGACAGUUUGGAGACAGGGAAAAACCGUGGAAGACAGAACCUGGAGAAGAGUUGGGAACCUCAGAGGAGGUUGCAAAUAGCUGUCUGUGGACAUCUGGUUUGUGGUCUCAAGGAAACAGAGACAAUAUUGAUUUUUGAAACAAGAGGGGCUCCAAGUGCCUGUUAUUCGGGAGCACUUUGAGAAACACUGCAGGGCUCCUGAAGGAGGACAGAGUCAGGCUAACCAUCUCUAGAUGCAGUGACCUGCCAAAUGGGCUGUUGGGCUGGAAGAAAUGCAGAUUGCUUAUUGCUUCCAUUUAUCCCCGGGCUCCUCUCCUGUCAUCCUCCUUUCUCGGCUUCUGCAGUCCCAGCUCUGGGCAUGAGACUUACGGCUCCCUCGAUCCAGCAUCAGGACCUCCCCUCUAGUUGUACUAACUUGGCUCCCUCUUGAAGCUCAGAAUUUAUGCAACCAAAGCCCAGAUUCCUUCACUGGUGGGUCUGAAACCAACCCCCUCCUCUCCUGCUCUGCUCUUCCUGGCCUGCAUCUUCGCUUUGCAGGAGGUGCCAGACGUCAAAUUGCCCCACAUUCUGUGGCUUCGGGACCCAGGCAAACGUCCAUGAAGGAGAAACUUGUAACCACUGGGACGCGGGAUGAAUGCAGGGCCCUGGACUCUGUUGUGGGCAAAUACGUUGAGCGAUUUGAAAUGACUCUCCCGGGAGCUGGUUGUCAAAUUUUUGGUGUGUUCAGGAAAUGUCUGCCACAUUUUACAUCAACAUUUUCAAACGGUGCUUAAAACUCUACUCAAAUCCAACUUCCUCCCUGAAGCCGUCUGCCCAGCGGGGAUCAAUGUCUCCUUCUAGCUCCUGGUACAACUUCUGCAGUUAUAUUAUGUGAGGUUCUGCUUUCUCAUAUGCUGACUGCUGGCUUAGACACAUUCUCUUCGUUCAUCUUCCCACCACACCUGCACAAGAAGAAAUGGGAGCUCAGCUCCAUCAGCCUGCUGGAGGUCAGGCAGCUAUGACGGGGCAGGAGCAGUAUUUGAACUCAGGACUAUGUGCUCCGAAGCCUGUUCUUGUCUCUGUAUUAAUGGUUCUCAAAGUGUGGUCCUUGGACCAGCGGUAUCACCUGGGAACUUGUUAAAAAUAUAAGUUAUCAGGCCCUACUCCAGACGUAUGGAAACAAAAACUUCGUGGUUGAGGCCCAGAAAUCUGUAUUUUAACAGGCCCCUUGGGGAUUCUGGUGCAUGCUUAAGUUUGAGAACCACUCUUCCAUACCCAGCUUGCUUCUGAUGUAUGGUUCUGUGAUAUGUGUUAUCUUGGUCACUAGACUGUAAGCUACCUGAGGGCAGGACUUCUGCCUUAUUCACUUGGGAGCAAGACACUAUACUAGGUGCUGCUGUGGAAAUGUAACAAGAGUAACAGCGGACAUUUAUUGAGCUCUUCACGCCACAUGGCAUGCUAAACCUUCAUGUGGUUUAUAUUAUUGAAUUCUCAGAAUAACCCCUUGAGGUCAGCACUAUUAUUAUCUGCCGUUUACAGAUCAGGACACUGAAACUCAAGUGGGUGAAGCAGCUUGCUUAAAAUCCAAUGCCAUGCAUGAGGAAGCUGGGAUGUGAACCCAGAGGUUCUGACUCCAGAGCCCGUGCUCUUACCCAGCAGGCUGCCCUGUUCAGUGCAUGCUUCCCGAAUUGACUAUAACCAUCUGACCUCUUCCAUGCAUCACGUGAAGAAAAAGUCUCAACUGUAAAUAAGGGGAGAAAUGUACACAGAGCAGCUUGCGAGGAUAGAGAGGGCUUGGAUGUCUUUCUGAAAGGAAGCCAUCAUUUUCUUUCUUUUCUCUAGAGACAGGGUCUCGUUUCAUCACCCAGGCUGGAGUGCAGUGGUGCAAUCAUGGCUCACUGCAGCCUUGAACUCCUGGGCUCAAGCAAUCCUCCUGCCUCAGCCUCCCAAGUAGCUGGGACUGCAGGUGUAUGCCACCAUGCCCAGCUAAUUUUUUUUUGUUGUUUUUGUGGUGGGGUCUUGCUGUGUUGCCUAGACUGACCUCGAACUCCUGGCCUCAAGCAAUCCUUCUGCCUUGGCUUCCCAAAGUGCUGGGAUUAUAGGCAUGAGCCAUUGAGACUGGCCAGAAGGUAUCCUUUUUUUAGAGAAACUAAAAGCAUUCUCAAGCUCCCUUAAUUUCACUUCUGAUAGAUGAGUUAUCUUGACCUCCUGUUCAGGAUAGGGCCAAAUCUACUCAGUCCUGUUGUAUCCAGGGUACUUAAAUGUCUUGAAUUCCUGCACCAGAAGGUACAGUCUUCUGGGGAGUCACAGUAGGGGGUGAGGGGGCACAGGGGAGAGGAGGGUCUACAGGUUAGGACUCCAGCAGUGAUGCUUGAAUUUGAAUCAUGAUUGUGCUGCUUGAAAUCAAUGUCAUUUUAGAUAUAAGCUGCUUACACUUUCUGGAACUCGGUUUCUUCAACUGUAAAAUGGAAAUAAUGAUAAUAGCUGUUUUAUUUGUGCUGAGCAGGAAUGAGACUGUGGCUGGGAGAAUGCUUUAUAAAUCAAAAGGGAUGUCUGGAAAGUUCAGUGUUCUUUCCUGGACCAUUGGGAGUUGCAGCGUAGGGAGGUAUUGAGGAGGUGCCCACCAGUCUUGAUUUCUAACCUGAGAUUCUUUUUUUGUUUUGAGCUGGAGUUUCACUCUUGUUGUCCACAAUGGAGUACAGUGACACGGUCUCAGCUCACUGCAAUCUCCCGGGUUCAAGGAUUCUCUUGCUUCGGCCUCCCGAGUAGCUGGGAUUACAGGCACCCCCCACCACACCCAGCUAAUUUUUGUACUUUUAGUAGAGACGGGGUUUCACCAUGUUGGUCAGGCUGGUCUCAAACUCCUGACCUCAGGGGAUCCACCCACCUCAGCCUCCCAAAGUGCUGGGAUUACAGGCGUGAGCCACCAUGCCUGGCCCAACCUGAGAUUCUUUUCUGCCAGACUUCCUUCCUUAGAACACAAACAUGUGAUUUCUCAGUGCUUGCCAGAGAUGCAGACCUGUUCCUCUGAGGCUGGAAAUGACUUCACGGUACUUUUCAAACAGUAAUUAUCUACAGAAAAGCGCCCUGAGACCCUCGGAGACCAGGAGCCGAGAACCCCUUAUAAGGACACGAUGCUGUUUCUCAUCCCAACCCUCAAGAUAAGGGCGUUUCUCUGCCUGGAUUUGUAGAAUCCAAUUUGGAUGCCUGGAUUCUGGGUUUCCCCCAUGGAACAGACUCCUUCCCCCUCCUUCUCACCCAUCCCUCUUCAGGCACCAAAGCCCCUUCCAAAAUGUCUUCACCUUUCACAUGACACCAGCACUCAAAUCCACCAUUCCAAAUAAAUGAGAAAGAAACCCCUUUCCGCCAGGUUUUGCUUGUGCCCCGGCAACCCAAAGCUAGGAUACAGUUUCAUGGCAGGGCACAUGUGUGUGUAAUUGCUACCUGAGAGGAAGACCAGGAGAGCCUGCUCGAAAUGGGGUGUUAAUGAUAAGCACCACAAGAUUUGUUACUGUAGUGAAGCCCCAUCUGGAUGGACUACAUUAAGUUGCUUUUUAAUGUGGCCCUUUGAUGUGGCCCUUCAUAGAGUCCCUCCAGUGCUUGUUAGUUAGGGAGCAUCCCACGAUAGAAAAAAAAGCAAGAACAAAACCAUAAACGAGAACAAGAACCACCCCUUUUGCUCAGCUGAAACACUACAAUCAUGCUAGUUUACCCACCUGUCAGCUUCUUUCAGACCUGUGACCACAUCUAGGGAUAGGCUUCCUUAGAGGAAAGGAACUUGAAACUGUGUUUCUGGAUGCAUUGUUUUAAGCAUCAAUUAUUUUUUUUUUUUUUUUUUGAGAUGGAGUCUUGCUCUGUCGCCCAGGCUGUGGCACGAUCUCCGCUCACUGCAAGCUCUGCCUCCCAGGUUCACGCCAAUCUCCUGCCUCAGCCUCCUGAGUAGCUGGGACUACAGGCGCCCACCACCACA
This 3956-nucleotide long non-coding RNA is filed under the name Homo sapiens (human). RNAcentral describes it as "HSALNT0237372". The record is from RNAcentral. Lineage: Eukaryota; Metazoa; Chordata; Mammalia; Primates; Hominidae.